CCUAGGGGGGGCUGUAGUGGGGAAUAUUGGACAAUGGGCGAAAGCCUGAUCCAGCCAUGCCGCGUGUGUGAAGAAGGCCUUCGGGUUGUAAAGCACUUUCAGUGGGGAAGAAAGCCUUGGGGCUAAUACCCUCGAGGAAGGACAUCACCCACAGAAGAAGCACCGGCUAACUCCGUGCCAGCAGCCGCGGUAAUACGGAGGGUGCGAGCGUUAAUCGGAAUUACUGGGCGUAAAGCGCGCGUAGGCGGUCUGAUAAGCCGGUUGUGAAAGCCCCGGGCUCAACCUGGGAACGGCAUCCGGAACUGUCAGGCUAGAGUGCAGGAGAGGAAGGUAGAAUUCCCGGUGUAGCGGUGAAAUGCGUAGAGAUCGGGAGGAAUACCAGUGGCGAAGGCGGCCUUCUGGACUGACACUGACGCUGAGGUGCGAAAGCGUGGGUAGCAAACAGGAUUAGAUACCCCAGUAGU
Molecule: ribosomal RNA, 464 nt
Filed under: Vreelandella stevensii
Lineage: Bacteria; Pseudomonadati; Pseudomonadota; Gammaproteobacteria; Oceanospirillales; Halomonadaceae
Description: partial 16S ribosomal RNA
Rfam family: Bacterial small subunit ribosomal RNA
Source: RNAcentral